RNAcentral lists this small nuclear RNA (165 nucleotides) under Salvator merianae (Argentine black and white tegu). Its description in RNAcentral is "U1 spliceosomal RNA (ENSSMRG00000006383.1)". It matches the Rfam family "U1 spliceosomal RNA". Rfam says of the family: U1 is a small nuclear RNA (snRNA) component of the spliceosome (involved in pre-mRNA splicing). The record is from Rfam by way of RNAcentral. Lineage: Eukaryota; Metazoa; Chordata; Lepidosauria; Squamata; Teiidae.
AUAUUUACUUGGCAGGGAGGACACCUUGAUCAUGAAGGAGGUUUUCCCAGGGUGAGGCUCAGCCGUUGCACUCCAGCUGUGCUGACCCCUGUGAUUUCCCCAAAUUUGGGAAACUCGACUGCAUAAUUUGUGGUAGUGGGGGGACUGCGUGCGCGCUUUCCGUUU